This 70-nucleotide transfer RNA is filed under the name Bos taurus (domestic cattle). It matches the Rfam family "tRNA". From Rfam's summary of the family: Transfer RNA (tRNA) molecules are approximately 80 nucleotides in length. Their secondary structure includes four short double-helical elements and three loops (D, anti-codon, and T loops). RNAcentral also lists the same sequence under 2 other names. Lineage: Eukaryota; Metazoa; Chordata; Mammalia; Artiodactyla; Bovidae. The record is from Rfam by way of RNAcentral.
UCCCUGGUGGCUCAGGUAAAGCGUCUGUCUACAAUGCAGGAGACCCCAGGUUCGAUCCCUGGGUUGGGAA